This 555-nucleotide long non-coding RNA is filed under the name Parus major (Great Tit). Its description in RNAcentral is "lncRNA (ENSPMJG00000004891.1)". Lineage: Eukaryota; Metazoa; Chordata; Aves; Passeriformes; Paridae. The record is from RNAcentral.
UGAAUCACCAAAGCAGUUUCUCAUUCUCAGAAAAAUACGCUUGACAUCCUGUGAGUCAAACCACUCGAAACAGAAAAGAUCCCUCAAAUGGACAAGUAAUAUGGAAGUAGUCAUCCUGGGCCAGUAUUUCCAGAUGAUAGUUCAGAUUUAUCCCAUCUUGCUCUCUACAAAUAGAAGUGAUAUUAUCUUCCAUCUCUGUAAUCCUGAUAUGAAAACAAACAAGCACACAUAGCCUGUGAACUCUGAAUGGAGAAAGACAUCUGGAGAAGAAUCAUGGAGAACAACUUGCUGGGAUGUUAUCAGAUGGCCUUUGUUCCUUUGAAAAAAAGAUGAAAUGCAAGUUAUAAGUUGUUUAAAUGGAACAUCAGGAAUUUACUGCCACUGAGGAUGUAGACCUAUAACUUCUAAAAGAGUAUUAUUAAGACAUCUGCUAGAUGCAUAAUGUAGAAACUAUAGUAAAUCUGCAAUAUUUCAGAAGACAGAUAGUGAAGACAUAUAAAAAAAGUUGAUUAUCUCAUUUGACAAGUCAUCAAGAGAUAUCCAUAUUGUGUAAGA